Molecule: ribosomal RNA, 253 nt
Filed under: uncultured bacterium
Lineage: Bacteria
Description: partial 16S ribosomal RNA
Rfam family: Bacterial small subunit ribosomal RNA
Source: RNAcentral
UACAGAGGGUGCGAGCGUUGUCCGGAAUCACUGGGCGUAAAGGGCGCGUAGGCGGCUUGAUAAGCGUGCGGUGAAAGCCCGGGGCUCAACCCCGGGUCGGCCGUGCGAACUGUCGAGCUGGAGCACUGUAGAGGCAGGUGGAAUUCCGGGUGUAGCGGUGGAAUGCGUAGAGAUCCGGAGGAACACCGACGGCGCAGGCAGCGUCCUGGCCGCUUGCUGACACUGAGGCACGAAAGCUGGGGGAGCAAACAGG